This 412-nucleotide ribosomal RNA is filed under the name uncultured bacterium. RNAcentral's name for it is "bacterial SSU rRNA". It matches the Rfam family "Bacterial small subunit ribosomal RNA", at positions 355 to 776 of the family's 1533-position model. The record is from RNAcentral.
UGGGGAAUUUUUGGCAAUGGGGGCAACCCUGACCAAGCAACGCCGCGUGGGUGAUGAAGUCUCUUGGGACGUAAAACCCUUUCGACGGGGAAGAAACCGCAAGGUUGACGGUACCCGUAGAAGAAGCCCCGGCUAACUCCGUGCCAGCAGCCGCGGUAAUACGGGGGGGGCAAGCGUUGUUCGGAAUUACUGGGCGUAAAGGGCGCGUAGGCGGUUCGCUAAGUUGGAUGUGAAAACUCUGGGCUCAACCCAGAGCCUGCAUCCAAAACUGGCGGGCUAGAGUUCUGGAGGGGGUAGCGGAAUUCCUGGUGUAGCGGUGAAAUGCGUAGAUAUCAGGAGGAACACCGGUGGCGAAGGCGGCUACCUGGACAGAAACUGACGCUGAGGCGCGAAAGCUAGGGGAGCAAACAGG